CAAGUCGAGCGGAACGAGUUAUCUGAACCUUCGGGGGACGAUAACGGCGUCGAGCGGCGGACGGGUGAGUAAUGCCUAGGAAAUUGCCCUGAUGUGGGGGAUAACCAUUGGAAACGAUGGCUAAUACCGCAUGAUGCCUACGGGCCAAAGAGGGGGACCUUCGGGCCUCUCGCGUCAGGAUAUGCCUAGGUGGGAUUAGCUAGUUGGUGAGGUAAGGGCUCACCAAGGCGACGAUCCCUAGCUGGUCUGAGAGGAUGAUCAGCCACACUGGAACUGAGACACGGUCCAGACUCCUACGGGAGGCAGCAGUGGGGAAUAUUGCACAAUGGGCGCAAGCCUGAUGCAGCCAUGCCGCGUGUGUGAAGAAGGCCUUCGGGUUGUAAAGCACUUUCAGUCGUGAGGAAGGUGGUGUAGUUAAUAGCUGUAUCAUUUGACGUUAGCGACAGAAGAAGCACCGGCUAACUCCGUGCCAGC
RNAcentral lists this ribosomal RNA (474 nucleotides) under bacterium 1611-S4-01-3.1. RNAcentral describes it as "bacterial SSU rRNA". It matches the Rfam family "Bacterial small subunit ribosomal RNA", at positions 58 to 512 of the family's 1533-position model. The record is from RNAcentral.